Long non-coding RNA from Malus domestica (apple), 447 nucleotides. RefSeq lists it as uncharacterized. The record is from RefSeq and is a predicted model, not a curated record. NCBI's taxonomy places the organism in Eukaryota, Viridiplantae, Streptophyta, Magnoliopsida, Rosales, Rosaceae.
UGAUGUUGAAAACCUCGAUGCUCAGCGUACCACUUACCUACAAGAGCUCUUCACGAAGUGGUACGUUGAGUGGAAAAGCUACCUCCACAAAUAUUUUGAAUCUUUUUCAGAUAUGGAGAUUACUCUCGAAGGCUGCCUAAAGGAAUCCCAAAGGAUUGGGCAUGGCUGUGCAAGCAUUUUUAGGAUUCGAAAUUUUUUGUAGGUUGAAAAAGAAAUUUCUCUACCACUCCGGUUUAAAGCCUUUCUCCAACAGGUUGGAGAAGUUAUAACAGGCUACUAUGGUGGAGAAGAGCAAUGCUUUUCUCUACCGAGACGUUGGAUUAGACCCUCAGUCGUAGGUCUGGUAAGGGAUGGGGAGAGCGCGACACUAUGAAACUGGUGGCUCAUCUUUUUCAGAGAGUUGGGGACUUGAAGCGGUAGCUUGCGGCCUAGAAAGACCAUAUGAGA